CCUACGGGGGGCAGCAGUGGGGAAUAUUGGGCAAUGGCCGAAAGGCUGACCCAGCGACGCCGCGUGUGGGAGGAAGCCCUUCGGGGUGUAAACCACUGUCAGGAGGGACGAAAGAGCUCAUGGUGAAUAAUCAUGGGCAGUGACGGUACCUUCAAAGGAAGCACCGGCUAACUCUGUGCCAGCAGCCGCGGUAAUACAGAGGGUGCAAGCGUUGUUCGGAAUUACUGGGCGUAAAGCGCGCGCAGGCGGGUCCUGUAAGUCGGAAGUGAAAUUUCACGGCUCAACCGUGAAGCUGCUUCUGAUACUGCGGAUCUGGAGAUCGGUAGAGGCUGGUGGAAUUGCAGGUGUAGCGGUGGAAUGCGUAGAGAUCUGCAAGAACACCCGUGGCGAAGGCGGCCAGCUGGGCCGAAUCUGACGCUGAGGCGCGAAAGCGUGGGGAG
This 440-nucleotide ribosomal RNA is filed under the name uncultured bacterium. Its description in RNAcentral is "bacterial SSU rRNA". It matches the Rfam family "Bacterial small subunit ribosomal RNA", at positions 338 to 768 of the family's 1533-position model. The record is from RNAcentral.